GCGUUGUUAGGCUAGCGGUAAACUGGGCCCUUGCCAUUGGGCAACAGAGUGGGCUCGUCAGGGGUUCGACUCCCCUACAACGCA
This 84-nucleotide transfer RNA is filed under the name Phakopsora pachyrhizi. RNAcentral describes it as "tRNA-Gly". It matches the Rfam family "tRNA". From Rfam's summary of the family: Transfer RNA (tRNA) molecules are approximately 80 nucleotides in length. Their secondary structure includes four short double-helical elements and three loops (D, anti-codon, and T loops). Further hydrogen bonds mediate the characteristic L-shaped molecular structure. tRNAs have two regions of fundamental functional importance: the anti-codon, which is responsible for specific mRNA codon recognition, and the 3' end, to which the tRNAs corresponding amino acid is attached (by aminoacyl-tRNA synthetases). tRNAs cope with the degeneracy of the genetic code in two manners: having more than one tRNA (with a specific anti-codon) for a particular amino acid; and 'wobble' base-pairing, i.e. permitting non-standard base-pairing at the 3rd anti-codon position. Lineage: Eukaryota; Fungi; Basidiomycota; Pucciniomycetes; Pucciniales; Phakopsoraceae. The record is from RNAcentral.